GUCGAGCGGUAAGGCCCUUCGGGGUACACGAGCGGCGAACGGGUGAGUAACACGUGGGUGAUCUGCCCUGCACUUCGGGAUAAGCCUGGGAAACUGGGUCUAAUACCGGAUAUGACCUUCGGCUGCAUGGCUGAGGGUGGAAAGGUUUACUGGUGCAGGAUGGGCCCGCGGCCUAUCAGCUUGUUGGUGGGGUAAUGGCCUACCAAGGCGACGACGGGUAGCCGACCUGAGAGGGUGACCGGCCACACUGGGACUGAGACACGGCCCAGACUCCUACGGGAGGCAGCAGUGGGGAAUAUUGCACAAUGGGCGAAAGCCUGAUGCAGCGACGCCGCGUGAGGGAUGACGGCCUUCGGGUUGUAAACCUCUUUCAGCAGGGACGAAGCGAAAGUGACGGUACCUGCAGAAGAAGCACCGGCCAACUACGUGCCAGCAGCCGCGGUAAUACGUAGGGUGCAAGCGUUGUCCGGAAUUACUGGGCGUAAAGAGCUCGUAGGCGGUUUGUCGCGUCGUCUGUGAAAACUCGCGGCUCAACCGCGAGCUUGCAGGCGAUACGGGCAGACUUGAGUACUGCAGGGGAGACUGGAAUUCCUGGUGUAGCGGUGAAAUGCGCAGAUAUCAGGAGGAACACCGGUGGCGAAGGC
This 644-nucleotide ribosomal RNA is filed under the name Rhodococcus sp. PKR-1. Its description in RNAcentral is "bacterial SSU rRNA". It matches the Rfam family "Bacterial small subunit ribosomal RNA", at positions 61 to 722 of the family's 1533-position model. Lineage: Bacteria; Bacillati; Actinomycetota; Actinomycetes; Mycobacteriales; Nocardiaceae. The record is from RNAcentral.